Molecule: ribosomal RNA, 689 nt
Filed under: uncultured Chloroflexota bacterium
Lineage: Bacteria; Bacillati; Chloroflexota
Description: bacterial SSU rRNA
Rfam family: Bacterial small subunit ribosomal RNA
Source: RNAcentral
AGUGGCGGACGGGUGAGUAAGACGUAGGUGACCUGCCGCAGAGAGGGGGAUAACCACUGGAAACGGUGGCUAAUACCGCAUGGGUUGAAGAAGAUGGGAAUCUUGUUCAACAAAGCUGAGGCGCUCUGCGAGGGGCCUACGGCCGAUUAGCUAGUUGGUGAGGUAAAGGCUCACCAAGGCGAUGAUCGGUAGCUGGUCUGAGAGGACGAUCAGCCACACGGGAACUGAGACACGGUCCCGACUCCUACGGGGGGCAGCAGUGAGGAAUAUUCGGCAAUGGGGGCAACCCUGACCGAGCAACGCCGCGUGGAGGAAGACGGUUUUUGGAUUGUAAACUCCUUUUCGGUGGGAAGAGCAAGGACGGUACCACCGGAAUAAGUCACGGCUAACUACGUGCCAGCAGCCGCGGUAAUACGUAGGUGGCAAGCGUUAUCCGGAAUUACUGGGCGUAAAGCGCACGCAGGUGGCGAGUUAAGUUCGACGUGAAAGCUCCUGGCUUAACUGGGAGAGGUCGUUGGAAACUGGCUGGCUAGAGGCGAGGAGAGGGGUGCAGAAUUCCCGGUGUAGUGGUGGAAUGCGUAGAUAUCGGGGGGAAUACCAGUGGCGAAAGCGGCACCCUGGCCUUGGCCUGACGCUCAGGUGCGAAAGCGUGGGGAGCGAACGGGAUUAGAUACCCCGGUAGUCCACGC